GCGGCUGUGGCGGAAUUGGCAUACGCGACGGACUUAAAAUCCGUUGUCCAUUAAGGACGUGUGGGUUCGAGUCCCACCAGCCGCA
RNAcentral lists this transfer RNA (85 nucleotides) under Flavobacteriales bacterium. Its description in RNAcentral is "tRNA-Leu". It matches the Rfam family "tRNA". From Rfam's summary of the family: Transfer RNA (tRNA) molecules are approximately 80 nucleotides in length. Their secondary structure includes four short double-helical elements and three loops (D, anti-codon, and T loops). Further hydrogen bonds mediate the characteristic L-shaped molecular structure. tRNAs have two regions of fundamental functional importance: the anti-codon, which is responsible for specific mRNA codon recognition, and the 3' end, to which the tRNAs corresponding amino acid is attached (by aminoacyl-tRNA synthetases). tRNAs cope with the degeneracy of the genetic code in two manners: having more than one tRNA (with a specific anti-codon) for a particular amino acid; and 'wobble' base-pairing, i.e. permitting non-standard base-pairing at the 3rd anti-codon position. Lineage: Bacteria; Pseudomonadati; Bacteroidota; Flavobacteriia; Flavobacteriales. The record is from RNAcentral.